Molecule: ribosomal RNA, 497 nt
Filed under: uncultured bacterium
Lineage: Bacteria
Description: partial 16S ribosomal RNA
Rfam family: Bacterial small subunit ribosomal RNA
Source: RNAcentral
GAUGAACGCUGGCUGCGGGCCUAAUACAUGCAAGUCGAGCGAACAGACCAUGAGCUGGCUCCUCUUGCUGUAGCGGCGGACGGGUGAGGAACACGUGGAUAACCUAACUAUAAGACUGGGAUAACUUCGGGAAACCGGAACUAAGACCAGAGAAUAUAGUGAACCGAAGGGGUCAUUAGUAAAAGACGGUUUUUCUGUCAGUUAUGGAUGGAUCUGCGCCGGAUUAGCUAGUUGGUAAGGUAACGGCUUACCAAGGCAACGAUGCGUAGGAGACCUGAGAGGGUAGUAGGCUACCCCGGAUCUGAGCCAAGGCCCAGACUAAUAGGCGAGGCAGCAGUACGGAAUCUUACGCAAUGGGAGAAAGCAUGGCGGAGAAACGCCGAGUGAGUGAUAAAGGUCUUCGGAUAGUAAAACUAUGUUAUUAGGGAAGAACAAAUGUGUAAGUAACUAUGCACGUCUUGACGGUACCUAAUCAGAAAGCAACGGCUAACUCCGUG